UGGGGAAUCUUGCGCAAUGGGCGAAAGCCUGACGCAGCAACGCCGCGUGGGGGAUGAAGGCCUUCGGGUUGUAAACCCCUUUCAGUGGGGACGAAAUUGACGGUACCCACAGAAGAAGCCCCGGCUAACUACGUGCCAGCAGCCGCGGUAACACGUAGGGGGCAAGCGUUGUCCGGAUUUAUUGGGCGUAAAGAGCUCGUAGGCGGUUCGCUAAGUCGGGUGUGAAAACUCUGGGCUCAACUCAGAGACGCCACCCGAUACUGGCGUGACUCGAGUCCGGUAGGGGAGCAUGGAAUUCCUGGUGUAGCGGUGAAAUGCGCAGAUAUCAGGAGGAACACCAGUGGCGAAGGCGGUGCUCUGGGCCGGUACUGACGCUGAGGAGCGAAAGCGUGGGUAGCAAACA
This 403-nucleotide ribosomal RNA is filed under the name uncultured Iamia sp. Its description in RNAcentral is "bacterial SSU rRNA". It matches the Rfam family "Bacterial small subunit ribosomal RNA", at positions 355 to 774 of the family's 1533-position model. Lineage: Bacteria; Bacillati; Actinomycetota; Acidimicrobiia; Acidimicrobiales; Iamiaceae. The record is from RNAcentral.